Molecule: ribosomal RNA, 440 nt
Filed under: uncultured bacterium
Lineage: Bacteria
Description: partial 16S ribosomal RNA
Rfam family: Bacterial small subunit ribosomal RNA
Source: RNAcentral
CCUACGGGGGGCUGCAGUGGGGAAUAUUGGACAAUGGGGGGAACCCUGAUCCAGCGACGCCGCGUGAGUGAAGUAGUAUUUCGGUAUGUAAAGCUCUAUCAGCAGGGAAGAAAAUGACGGUACCUGACUAAGAAGCCCCGGCUAACUACGUGCCAGCAGCCGCGGUAAUACGUAGGGGGCAAGCGUUAUCCGGAUUUACUGGGUGUAAAGGGAGCGCAGGCGGGGCAGCAAGUCAGAUGUGAAAGGUAGGGGCUUAACCUGUGGACUGCAUUUGAAACUGGUGUACUGGAGUAAAGGAGAGGUAAGCGGAAUUCCGAGUGUAGCGGUGAAAUGCGUAGAUAUUCGGAGGAACACCAGUGGCGAAGGCGGCCAACUGGACUUUAACUGACGCUGAGGCUCGAAAGUGUGGGGAGCAAACAGGAUUAGAUACCCGUGUAGUC